This 253-nucleotide ribosomal RNA is filed under the name uncultured bacterium. Its description in RNAcentral is "partial 16S ribosomal RNA". It matches the Rfam family "Bacterial small subunit ribosomal RNA", at positions 524 to 776 of the family's 1533-position model. The record is from RNAcentral.
UACGAAGGGGGCUAGCGUUGUUCGGAAUUACUGGGCGUAAAGCGCGCGCAGGCGGCUCUUCAAGUCAGGGGUGAAAGCCCAGAGCUCAACUCUGGAAUUGCCUUUGAGACUGUAGAGCUUGAGUACGGGAGAGGUGAGUGGAAUUCCCAGUGUAGAGGUGAAAUUCGUAGAUAUUGGGAAGAACACCGGUGGCGAAGGCGGCUCACUGGCCCGUUUCUGACGCUCAGGCGCGACAGCGUGGGGAGCAAACAGG